UUUUAAAAAAAUUUGCAAUGUUCUUUUCAGCAAAAUAAAACUCUUUAACAGUUUGUGUGUCACAUACAGCUUAAGUGUGGUAUAAUUUAUGUAUAAUAACAGCAUCUUUUAAAUGAAUAAAAUGAUGAUGAACCCAUCACCAUAUUAAGACAGUAAAUACACUCAUCACUCCUUAAAGUUUCCUCCUGUUUGAUUUUAACCCAUCUGUCCUCCCGCUCCUCCAUGAGGAGAUACUUGAGGGGUAUGCUUACCUCCUGCAGGCUGGUUUAGGGUUUCUAAAGAUGACUCUGUAACAGAAAUAUUGUAAAGGUCUUUGAGGAUCCUCAUUAUCUCCAAUAUUAUUUCAGCUAAUGCGUAUUCUGCCAGACCUCUUCCAUCUUGGGCCUGGCGAUUUUGGAAUGCUGUGGACGUUGACAGUCGUUACAACUUUCUUCAGAAUAUGUGCGUAUGCUGCUUUCCUCUGGAGAUCUGUCCUUGCUGUAAAAGCAGAAGUAGGAGGACCUUCCUGAUUCCUGGGAACACCCAGCAUGCUGAACCCAGUGGGGUGCCCAUGCAUGGGUGCUGGACCAGGUGCACCUCCUCUGGCGUGGUCACCUACGAUGCCUCAGCCUGCACUACAUGAGGCAGGAUCUGCAGCCGGGAGCUUCUUCGUGCCAAAGGAGGAGGAAGGCCAGGAGAGCGAGGGCAAGGUGAGCGUGCGGUCCGGCGGGCCGGCCACAUCGCGAGGACCAGCCUGCAUGCCCAACGCCACGGGCGUCGCGGCGGCCACGAGCUCGGGGCCGCCAGCCCCUCCUGCGGCCGGGGGGCCUCUGAGCCAUCCGCCCUCGCCUCCACCUGCCCCCCGCGGAUUGGGAUUUUUUUGGAUAUUUUUCAAAGAAUUACACCCAAGCAUUUCAUGCAUGCCCACACUUAAAUCCCCAGCUUGUCGUUAUUACUGCCUACCUGCAAAUUGCUCUAUUGGCCAUUUACUGCUGGAAGAAGCUCUU
RNAcentral lists this long non-coding RNA (986 nucleotides) under Equus asinus (donkey). RNAcentral's name for it is "lncRNA (ENSEASG00005030207.1)". Lineage: Eukaryota; Metazoa; Chordata; Mammalia; Perissodactyla; Equidae. The record is from RNAcentral.